Molecule: ribosomal RNA, 372 nt
Filed under: uncultured organism
Description: partial 16S ribosomal RNA
Rfam family: Bacterial small subunit ribosomal RNA
Source: RNAcentral
GUAGGUGGCAAGCGUUGUCCGGAAUUAUUGGGCGUAAAGCGCGCGCAGGCGGUUCUUUAAGUCUGAUGUGAAAGCCCACGGCUCAACCGUGGAGGGUCAUUGGAACCUGGAGAACUUGAGUACAGAAGAGGAAAGCGGAAUUCCACGUGUAGCGGUGAAAUGCGUAGAGAUGUGGAGGAACACCAGUGGCGAAGGCGGCUUUCUGGUCUGUAACUGACGCUGAGGCGCGAAAGCGUGGGGAGCAAACAGGAUUAGAUACCCUGGUAGUCCACGCCGUAAACGAUGAGUGCUAAGUGUUAGGGGGUUUCCGCCCCCCUUAGUGCUGCAGCUAACGCAUUAAGCACUCCGCCUGGGAGUACGGCCGCAAGGCUG